Molecule: ribosomal RNA, 381 nt
Filed under: Rothia dentocariosa
Lineage: Bacteria; Bacillati; Actinomycetota; Actinomycetes; Micrococcales; Micrococcaceae
Description: partial 16S ribosomal RNA
Rfam family: Bacterial large subunit ribosomal RNA (bases 161-381)
Source: RNAcentral
AGGUGUGGUCUGAAUUGGUGACUGGCUGGUGCUGGUGCCGGGUUUGUUCUCGGUGUUGGUGUUGGUGUGGUUUGUUGUUUGAAAACUAUAUAGUGGACGCGAGCAUCUUCUGGGAACUGCACGGUUGUGUGGUUUCUUGAUUCUUCUUUUUCUUGAUUGUGUGUAAGUUGUUAAGGGCACACGGUGGAUGCCUUGGCAUCAGGAGCCGAUGAAGGACUUGUGAAUCUGCGAUAAGCCUCGGGGAGCCGAUAACUGGGCGUGGAUCCGAGGAUUUCCGAAUGGGGAAACCUCGCUCAUAGUUGUGGUGGGUGACCGCUGGUUGAAUGUAUAGGCCAGUUGGGGGGAACGCGGGGAAGUGAAACAUCUCAGUACCCGCAGGAA